This 639-nucleotide ribosomal RNA is filed under the name uncultured bacterium. RNAcentral describes it as "bacterial SSU rRNA". It matches the Rfam family "Bacterial small subunit ribosomal RNA", at positions 202 to 829 of the family's 1533-position model. The record is from RNAcentral.
GAAAGAUGGUUCUGCUAUCACUCUUGGAUGGACCUGCGGUGCAUUAGCUAGUUGGUAAGGUAACGGCUUACCAAGGCAAUGAUGCAUAGCCGAGUUGAGAGACUGAUCGGCCACAUUGGGACUGAGACACGGCCCAAACUCCUACGGGAGGCAGCAGUAGGGAAUCUUCCACAAUGGACGAAAGUCUGAUGGAGCAACGCCGCGUGAGUGAAGAAGGGUUUCGGCUCGUAAAGCUCUGUUGGUAGUGAAGAAAGAUAGAGGUAGUAACUGGCCUUUAUUUGACGGUAAUUACUUAGAAAGUCACGGCUAACUACGUGCCAGCAGCCGCGGUAAUACGUAGGUGGCAAGCGUUGUCCGGAUUUAUUGGGCGUAAAGCGAGUGCAGGCGGUUCAAUAAGUCUGAUGUGAAAGCCUUCGGCUCAACCGGAGAAUUGCAUCAGAAACUGUUGAACUUGAGUGCAGAAGAGGAGAGUGGAACUCCAUGUGUAGCGGUGGAAUGCGUAGAUAUAUGGAAGAACACCAGUGGCGAAGGCGGCUCUCUGGUCUGCAACUGACGCUGAGGCUCGAAAGCAUGGGUAGCGAACAGGAUUAGAUACCCUGGUAGUCCAUGCCGUAAACGAUGAGUGCUAAGUGUUGGGAG